AUUGAACGCUGGCGGCAUGCUUUACACAUGCAAGUCGAGCGGUAACAGGUUAAGCUGACGAGUGGCGAACGGGUGAGUAAUGCAUCGGAACGUGCCCGGUCGUGGGGGAUAACGCAGCGAAAGCUGCGCUAAUACCGCAUACGAUCUGAGGACGAAAGCGGGGGCCCGGAAGGCCUCGCGCGAUCGGAGCGGCCGAUGUCAGAUUAGGUAGUUGGUGAGGUAAAGUCUCACCAAGCCAACGAUCUGUAGCUGGUCUGAGAGGACGACCAGCCACACUGGGACUGAGACACGGCCCAGACUCCUACGGGAGGCAGCAGUGGGGAAUUUUGGACAAUGGGCGAAAGCCUGAUCCAGAAAUGCAGCGUGCAGGAAGAAGGCCUUCGGGUUGUAAACUGCUUUUGUACGGAGCGAAAAGGCUCUCUCUAAUACAGGGGGCUCAUGACGGUACCGUAAGAAUAAGCACCGGCUAACUACGUGCCAGCAGCCGCAGUAA
Molecule: ribosomal RNA, 493 nt
Filed under: uncultured bacterium
Lineage: Bacteria
Description: partial 16S ribosomal RNA
Rfam family: Bacterial small subunit ribosomal RNA
Source: RNAcentral